GAUGAACGCUGGCGGCGUGCCUAAUACAUGCAAGUCGAGCGAACAGACGAGGAGCUUGCUCCUUCGACGUUAGCGGCGGACGGGUGAGUAACACGUAGGUAACCUACCUAUAAGACUGGGAUAACUUCGGGAAAUCGGAGCUAAUACCGGAUAAUAUUUCGAACCGCAUGGUUCGAUAGUGAAAGAUGGCUUUGCUAUCACUUAUAGAUGGACCUGCGCCGUAUUAGCUAGUUGGUAAGGUAACGGCUUACCAAGGCAACGAUACGUAGCCGACCUGAGAGGGGGAUGGGCCACCCGGGAACUGGGCCACGGUCCAGACUCCUACGGGAGGCAGCAGUGGGGAAUCUUCCGCAAUGGGCGAAAGCCUGACGGAGCAACGCGGCGUGAGUGAUGAAGGUCUUCGGAUCUUAAAACUCUGUUAUUAGGAAAGAACAAACGUGUAAGUAACAGUGCACGUCUUGACGGUACCUAAUCAGAAAGCCACGGCUAACUACGUG
RNAcentral lists this ribosomal RNA (497 nucleotides) under uncultured bacterium. RNAcentral describes it as "partial 16S ribosomal RNA". It matches the Rfam family "Bacterial small subunit ribosomal RNA", at positions 28 to 507 of the family's 1533-position model. The record is from RNAcentral.